UUAAUACCGACAAGCGACUUCCUUUCGAAGGGUGAAUUCUAUGCGGCUGGGUUGACAGCCCACGUGUGAAUUGUCAAUAGGGUUAAGGUACUGCAAGAUGCGAUGUCAAUCAACUUGCCAAUGGUUCAUCCUUGGCCAAACCUAGAGGAGACUCUAGCAAUUUGAGAAAUGAGCUUGGUAGAAAUGCCAUGACCCAUGUUUGGAAUGAGACAAACACUAAGUUGUCGACAUACAAAUAAAUAUAAAUAUAAAGUCAGAAUAAAUAACAACAACAACAAUAAUAAUAAUUUAGUUUCUCCAGUUAAAAGCUAUGGAAAUGCAGAGGUUUUUAAAGAUGAGGUAUUAAAAGAUAAUAGGGAUCUAUCAGGUGUUUAUCGAUGGGUUAAUAAUCUUAACGGCAAAACAUAUGUAGGUAGUGGAGUAAAUCUAGCCAAAAGAUUGGGUAGCUAUUAUAAUAAAAACGAAUUAAGUAGAAACCCUAGACCUAUCCUAGAUGCUUUACUAAAAUAUGGCUACAACAAUUUUACGUUGGAGAUUUUAGAGUAUUGUCCCAAAACUAAACUGCUUGAGAGAGAACAAUUUUAUCUUGAUUUAUUGGUUCCGGAAUAUAAUAUAUUAAAAUACGCAUAUUCCUUACUAGGUUUUAAACAUAGUAAGGAGAGCAUAGAAAAGUUAAAAGCUAAAAUUAUAUCUCCUGAGCAUAAAGAAAUAUUGUCUACGGUUCAUAAGGGAAAACUUGUUAGUGAUGUGACCAGAAAUAAACUGGCCGCUGCUACUGCAAGUUAUAGAAAAAAUAACCCUUUAACACCAGAGGCUUUGGCUAAUAUAAAAGCUAAAACUCUCGCUCGUGAAGGAGUAUCUGUUUCAGUCCUGAAUACUGAAACAAAUGAAGUAAAAGAGUUUACAAAUCAAACGGAAGCGGGUGUAUUUUUGGGGGUUACAAGGCAAGCAGUUUAUAAUGCUAUAAAAAGAGGUUCGCCUAUUAAUGGUAUAUAUCUUAUAACAAAAACAUAACAAACACAAAAAAAAAAUUACUUAAGCUUCAGUUAAUAUUUGAAGCCAGGUUAAAAUCUGUUGUCUAAAUGGGUAGUUAGAUAUAAUAAGAUAAUAUCUAACUACUUAGGGAGAAGUACCUUACUUUGCGUUAAGGCAAAAAGGUAGAUCUGUGUAUGUCUAAAGGGAAACAGCCCAGAACAAGAGUUAAGGUUCCAAAAUUAUUGUUAAGUGAAACUAAGGAAGUUUCUAUCUAAUACAACUAGGAAAUAGGCUUAGAAGCGGCUAUUUUUUGAAGACCUCGUAACAGAGCACUGGUUUAGUAAAAACUUUACAUUGAUAGUUGCACCGAAAAUUUAACGGAUCUAAACAAUAUACCGACACCUUGUCCAUAUUGUUAAAUAUAAUAUAGAAUUUAACUAUGGGGUAGCAGAACGUUGGGUAAAUCUUAGACAUAUUCUUUUUAAGAAUAUAGAGUAAUAACGAGUAAUAUCGUAUGAGAGCCCUGAAUUAAUGGUAACCCAAGUGAGAAUGCUGACAUGAGUAACGAAAAAGGGUCCCUUACGUUCGUUAAGAUGAAUUCAAAAAAUAGGAAUUAGUUGUCCAGUUUAGGGCGGACAUUCAAUUAAUUCAAAAAAAACGUAGGAAAUUAAUACGGGGGGGAUAUCUAACAAAAGAUAUUAUAGCCCUCGCCUAAAGCUUAUGGAUUUAUUAAAGUAACGGCCUCUAAGUUUACUAACCUAAAGGAUUAAACGAUGAGUAAAGCUUACCUACAAAGUAACAACAUCUUCUUGCUCGGCGAUAAUAUUUAUACGCUCCAGCGCUUUUUCGAAAAAGCGCUGGAGCGUAUAAAUAUUUACACUCAGUAAGAAAAGUGAAGAAGGUUCUGGAAAAACUUGUAACAAGUAAUGUUUAUUUUAUCAUUUUAAAUAUACUAAAACAUAUGAAGAAUGACGAAAUAAGGCUAAAUAAACCGUACCUAAAUACUACCACAAGUAAGCAAGUAGAGAAUACGAAGGCGUUUGAGUGAACAAUCAUUAAGGAACUCGGCAAACUAACUACCGUAACUUCGGGAUAAGGAGAGCCAUUCUUACUUAUUAGUAUAAGGUAAAGAAUAGGAAGCAUGGAAUAGUGUUGUACGACUGUUGUGCGCCGUUUAAUUAUAUAUACGCCCGUAUGUAAGUAGGGAUAAGAGUUGAAAAUCAAGUAAAAAGAAACUUACUCUUAUCCACCUUAUAUACCAGAUAGUUUUCGAAAUCUGUAAAGCAUUGUACUUAUCCUCGACCAUAAAGGGUGUCAACCUAGGUCUUGUAAACCUCGUAAGAGGGAGGGGAGUGUAGCAUGUACAAAAAGUGAGAGGAAGGCUCUGAGGAUGCGAAGACUUAAGAAAUGACAACCUACUUGCGAGCUAAAGAUUACAUGGCUUAAUGAAGAAAAGUUUUGGUCCGGAUUGUGCACCGGGUUGGAUAGAAUGGUUAAUGGACCAUUCAUGCGCAUCUACAAGCCAAUUGAGGGUACUUUUGUUUAUUGAACAGUGAAACAAAGGAGGGAACUACUCUCAACCAAGUAACAGAGUGAAUACUUGAAAACUACAAUCAUCAAAAUUGAUGAAAGUGAAAGCCUAAAUAAUCACAAAGACGUAUAUAUAAGAACUCGGGAAAUCUUUAGACUUGUCAUGUCUUCAAUCCAAUCUGGAUUGUCGAUUAUUUAUAUAUUACAAUUAUUAAGAAGUUACAUUAACUUGAACAAUUUCCCUAGAAGUAGUCCUUCAGUAUAGAAAUUGAUAAGAUACAGUCGGGCAUAAAAACUUCUAGAGGUUUAAGGAAAAAUUCUUGUAGACCCAACCCUCGAAGGGUUAAACUUUGACCUGGGGCUGACCCCCCCAUGUUAAAGGGGACAAACCUUAAAUUAUUGAAGGUGAAUGAGCUAGUGAUAACAUCGAGAACAUAGAUAUGAAGAGCUUAUGCCCUCGUCGAAUUUUAAAAAUGUGCCCUGGUUGUAAAUCUCCCUGAGGUUAAGACGUUCUCCAUCAAGUUAACGAGAGCUAUCAUACUCUGGGAAGCCCGAAGUAGCGGAAUACCGAUGAGGGAGGGAGUCUGAACUGAUCUUCCUCAGCAACGUGAAUCGUGAGAUAAAAGGCCUCCGAUAAGGGACAGUCAGCUAUAAAGAUUAAAUUUUCGGCGAAUGAGCACGACUUAGAGUUACCUAAGACACUCUCUUACACUAGAUUUCAUUCUGCUCGCAAUAAAAAUACUCAUUCAAAUUAUAAGUAAGUCAACUACAAUACAAAUAAAUCAGAACUAAUUAACCAAAUAGACAUCAAGGAAAGAUUAAUCCUACAGAGCGAUGGUAAAUGCAUCAAUGCGUUUAAUUUAAUCUCUAGUCCUGAAAUGCUAAUUGCGGCUUAUUCAACUAUAAAAAGUAAACCAGGUAUGAUGACAAAAGGUUCGGACGAGAUUACUCUUGACGGUAUCAGCAAAGAAUGAUUUGAAGAGCAAAGUAAGAUAAUCCAGUCUGAACAAUAUCAGCCUAAACCUUCUCGUAGAGAAUUUAUACCAAAACCUAACGGAAAAACAAGACCAUUAGGAAUAAGUUCACCUAGAGACAGAAUUAUUCAACAAUCGAUGAAAAUGGUGAUGGAAUGUAUGAUUGACCCUACAUUUUUAGACAGUUCACAUGGUUUCAGACCCCGAAGGAGCUGUCACUCCGCCCUCAAAGAAAUCAGAAGCUGAAAAGGGGUGACUUGAUUUAUUGAAGGAGAUAUUAAAGCCUUUUUCGAUAAUAUUGAUCAUCAGAUUUUAGCCCAACUGAUUAACAAACACUUUAGAGAUACUCGUUUGUUGAAUCUGUAUUGAAAAUUCGUUAAAGCAGGAUACAUGGAAUGAGAUCAAAGAAAAAUUAAAUAUGUAGCAUCAGAUGUAGGAGUACCACAAGGUGGUAUCGUUAGUCCAUUAUUAUCUAACUUAAUCUUACAUGAACUAGACGUAUAUGUGAAGGAACUAAGUGAUGGGUUUGAGAAUCUGAGAACUGAUCAAAAAAAAUCUCUAAUGAACCCUAAGUAUCUGAAAGCGGUUCGAUUAGUAAAAAAACUAAAAGAUAGUCUUAAAGAUGUUAAAAAGGGUAGUGCUGAAUAUCGUCUUACAAAACGUAAAAUUAGAUCGGCAUUAUGCGCUCAAAGAACUCUAAACUCACAAAUCCCUCAUCCCAAACUUCACCCUACAAUCAAAUACGUGCGUUAUGCAGAUGAUUGACUGAUUGGAGUUUGAGGUGAUAAAAAGUUUGCUGAUAUGAUAAAGAAUAAAAUGAGAACCAAAUUGGAAGAACUAAGAUUAACUCUCUCAGAAGAAAAAACCUUAAUUACUAACGCCAGAACUGAAAUGGCGAAAUUCCUAGGAACCCAUAUAAAGAAAUUUGCAACUAACAGAGGGACUAUAUUCGUAAAGAACAAGUCUAGUAAACAACUUGUUAGGAUUCCAGGUGGAAAUAUUAGAAUGACUGCACCUAUAUCUUCUAUCAUAAAAAAACUUGAACAGAAAGGUUUCUUAGUCGGUUCAUCUACCAAAUGGGAGAUGAAAUCGAUCUGAAAAUUCCUACCUCUGCCAAUGAAAGAUAUAAUACUAAGAUAUAGAUCUGUUUACCAUGGUUACAGUAACUUUUAUAGUUUUGUAGAUAACAAGAAGAUGUUCUCAAAGAUAUAUUGAAUUCUCAAAAUUAGUUUAAGAAAGACGCUAUCGAGAAAGUUUAAUGUCAGUAAACAUAGACUGACAAAAAAAUAUGGACAGCAUCUCAACUGUAACUAUCAAACAAGUCAGGGCAUAAAUAAAUAUAUUAACUUCCAAUUCCCUCCGUUAACGAGGGAUCCAAUGGCAUUCAAAGUUGGUAACAUAGAUUUCAAAGACCCAUUAUACGCGGGUUUAUGGAAUGUUAGAUCUAUAAAUGGCCUACAUGAAGUUUGUGCUAGUUGUGGUACAGAAUCAGGAAUUGAAAUGCAUCACUUAAAGCACAUUAAAACAAUAAACCCAAGACUUAAUAGCUUUGAUAAACUCUUAGCCAGAAUUAACAGAAAACAAGUUCCGCUAUGUAACGAAUGCCAUCACAAAGUACACGUAGGAAAAUACGAAGGGACAUCUCUAAGAUUCCUAGCAGGUAAAGGAAAAAAUAAAAACAUUCUUUAAUCCUGACUAAUAUCGGCAAGAAUUACCUUAGUACACAAACAGGAAGUUUAAGUCUAAUAAACUUAAACAUGGUCUUAUAAAGUUUUUGCUAUAACUGAUAAUUAAAUAUAUAAUAUAAUCGAAUAAUCGAAAGAAAGAAGAUACACAUAAUUUUGAAUUAUGAUAGAGAUCUCGGAAACUCCAUAUUAGUUGAGUGAAGAUACAUUCAAUGAAGGGGGUUAGCCUGAACAUAAAUUAGUACACAAACCUAUUACAGCAUGGAGCAGGACAUUCAAGUUUUACUGGAUCUGCUCAUCUAUCUGUGGUUAGUCACUGGUACACAACCAAGUCAGUGUCUCUUAUUUCUCCUAGAUAUGUCUUUACGACUUGAUAGGAGAGAUAAAAGAUAAAUUUCUGCAGAAUUCGCUAAUUCUUCGCGCUGACGUUUCAGGGGGAGAGCCGUAUGCAUUGAAAGGUGCACGUACGGUUCGGACGGGGGGUUCACUGAUAUGAGAUAUGGAUUAACGUUAAUUCAUACUUAAAUCGUAACUGGGUUCCUACCCUACUAAUUAAAACAAAGCACUUUGCAAUAAGAUAAUAAAUCAAAGUAUUGAGUGUGAUUUCUGCCCAAUGUCGGCUGGUUAACGGAUUUUCUGGGUUGACUAAUAUAAGCUUGGAUUUGAAGGAAACCCCGAUCAAUGGCGGCCUUACCUAUGAGGGUCCUAAGGUAGCGGAAUACCCUGGCCGUUAAAUGCGGUCUUGCAUGAAUAGAAAUCAAUCUAUUCCUAAUUCAACAGUGGCAUUAUAACGAUAUUAGUAAUAACUUAAAAGAAUGUGCCCUGCUUAGUAACCGGUACACGUGCGACUUCAUACCUAUAGAUGUAUGAGAUGUGGUUAUCAUCUUAGAAAAAGGGAACUAUCCGAAAAGCUACUUAAAAAUCCUAUUUUGAAACAGGUAGGAGAGGAAACUUGGUGCUAAAACAUGACGCAUCUGAACUAAGUAGAAAAUAACUAUGGACCUAAAUGUCAAAAGCGUUGAAUUUUUUUAAGUAAGACGCACACUUUAUUUUUUUCCUUUUUUUUUUUUAUAGUUUAAUUGUUAAAUAAUAAUUAAAUUAUAAUAAAAAAAAAGGAAAAAAAUUUAGAACUCUAAGGUAACCCCUAUUAAGUUUAUUAUUAUUAUUCUCCUCUUAGCAUUAUAACCCCGUGGAAGCAGAGGAGGGGAAUGUGGGCAAAAAAAAAUAUAAAAAAAAACAAAAACAUGAAAAAUCCAAAAUCGAUAACCAAAUUAAAUAGAUGCUUCUCCAGUUGACCCUCAAUAUUAGGCAGAGAUGGACCUAUGUCUAAUGCGUAUCGUUUAGCUAUUCAAUAUAUUAAUGAAAGUAGACCUAUAACAGCGGUUGAAGUUAAUAAAGUUUUAGCUUUUUCUGGUAUUAGUAUUAGUCAGGACAUGUUAAAUAAAAUACUUAGUAGACCACGACUAGAUUUUUCCGAUCUAGACUCAAAUACUAUAAAAACAGAAAAAUUCUUACAAACAAUUGGUACAGUAAGAGGUAAGGUUCAAUUACCUGGUGUUUACAUUUGAACACAUUUAGUUACAGGUGACAUGUAUGUUGGAUCAUCUUCUAAAUUAGCUCGUAGAUUAAUAGGUUAUUUCAAGAAUAACCAUAAAGAUACUGGUAAGCUAAUACCUUUAAUUAAAAAAGAAGGUGUGGGUGCUUUUAAAUUACAAGUUAUACCUUUAACAGAAUUUUAUCAAGUGAAUCAAGAACUUUGUUUAGAACAAUACUUCUUGUUACAACCUAAAUUUAAUCUUAACACACUUAGAGUAGUUAACGAUUAUUCUGGCGCAAGAGCCAUACCUUUAUACAUGUACACUAAGGACUUGUCAGAAUUGAUUUACUCUUCAAACAUCCAAGAGGACUUUAUAUUUAAAUUAAAAGUACAUUAUAGUAUCUUUAGCAACAGCUUAAAAACAGGAGCAGUUUACCUUGGUAAAUAUGUAUUCACAGAUAAGCCUAUUAUUGGAGCUAAAGAAAGCAAUAUGUCAGAAACAGAUAUAAAUUUCAUGUUGGAUAAAGAUAGGUUGGAAAUACAAAAAAGUAAGAGUAGAAAAGUAAUUAUAAAAGGUAUUGAAGGAAAUAAGGAAACUAUGCUGUUUGAUAGUAUAAGUAGUUGUAUAACUUUUCUUAACAAAAUAGCACCCUCUAAUAAAACAACAUUAUGUAGACACAUUGAAUCAGGAAAACCCUAUAACGGUUACCUGUGUCAAUGAGAUACUGUAAUUAAUGUUGCUAGUUCUAUUAAGGACAAAAGUAUAGAAAUCCAAGUAACUCAUAUACCGUCUGGUUCAACCGCUAUAUACCCUUCUUUUAGAAAGGCAGCUUUAUCUUUUGCACCAGAUUUUAUAACUACUGGACAAACUCUUAAAGCUUUUGCUGAAAAUGGUAAACUUUUUCAGGGAGAGUUUAAAAUAAGUAUCUUAAAGGAUAAGCAGUAAUUGCCCUUUAUUAAGCUUAUUAUUUAUAUUUUAUCAUCUAUUAAAGGAUACGUCCCUUAUAAUGAUAAGCACACAAAAUUUAUGCCAGCCUAAUUAGGAAAUAGAAAAAUCAAGCCUAGGAAACUUGAUUUUUGUGCAAUAAAGAGGCAAACUCCGGGGACACCCUAAAGCUUCUGGUACCAAGCUAUAGUUGAAAAACUAUAUGUGGCUGAAUUAAUUACUCAGGUUUUUGUUAGGUUAUUCAAUGAAUAACCUAAACAAUAAGGUAACAAGUCAGAAGAUGAGUGAAAACGAAAUGGGUUAUCGCGGAUCUAAGUCAGAUAAUAUAUCUGUAAAAGAGCAACGAGCGGAUGCUUCUUCGUAGAUACUUAAAAAUAAGUAUUAAUUUACGUAAGGUGCGCUCUAGUCGCCACGAAAGUGGUUCUUAAGCCAAAUAUAAGUAAUUUAAGAUUAAAGAUAUCAUAAUAACCUAACCUAAAGAUAAUAUCAAAGGUAAAAUUAUGAAACGGAAUGAUUUAACGAUACAACAGCUGUCUCAAUGAUUGGCUCAGUGAAAUUGGAAUAACUGUGCAGAUACAGUUUACCUCUAGAUAGACGAGAAGACCCUAUGCAGCUUUACUGUUGCUAGUUAUUGAAUAUGAUUGAACCAAUAUUAGUGUAUAAGGUAGUUGGAGGCAAUUUUUUAAACCUCGUUCAGGCAAAAUUGAAACACCUUUAUUUUGUUUAUCAUAUUCGUAGGCUAUAGAGUCUACGUCAUAAUAUAAGGUGCGUUAUUAUUACGUUAUUAAGUAUUAUAAUUAACCCAUCAUAAGGGAACAAUGGCUAGGAGGCAGUUUAUGCGGGGCACAGAUCCCAUAAAAAGUACCUGGGUGUAUCCAAAGUUAAUUUUGUAAAAUUGUCAUGACUUACUUAUGACAAUUAAAUAUACAAACUGUAUAUUUUUUUUUUUAGUUUGUUAUUGGUUUAGCUUAAGCUAAAACUAAUCCAACUAUAUAUCUAUUAAGUUAGAAUUAAUAUUUUAAUUUAAGUAAGAUUUUAACUAUAUGGAAAAUAGAUGUAAUUAAAACAUUAAUUUGAAAAUACUUUUCUAAUGUGUAAUUAUAAAAGGUAUUGAAGGAAAUAAGGAAACUAUGCUGUUUGAUAGUAUAAGUAGUUGUAUAACUUUUCUUAACAAAAUAGCACCCUCUAAUAAAACAACAUUAUGUAGACACAUUGAAUCAGGAAAACCCUAUAACGGUUACCUGUGUCAAUGAGAUACUGUAAUUAAUGUUGCUAGUUCUAUUAAGGACAAAAGUAUAGAAAUCCAAGUAACUCAUAUACCGUCUGGUUCAACCGCUAU
This 8986-nucleotide ribosomal RNA is filed under the name Monilinia fructicola. Lineage: Eukaryota; Fungi; Ascomycota; Leotiomycetes; Helotiales; Sclerotiniaceae. The record is from RNAcentral.